UAAAGAGGGAGGAAGAAGAAAGGCAGAGGGAGGGGAGAUGUCAGUUGCUGCCAAAGGAACAACAACAUGCCAGCAGACUGAAUUCAUCAAUAUCCUGAGUUUCUCUGACUGUUGGGACCACCAAGGAAAAGCCCCGGCUUCAAUUCAGACUCCGGUUAGACUCUGAGACCAGUUAGUCAGCUCUGGAAGCUCUUGGGAUUAGACGAUCGUGUUGACGCUGAACUGGUCCAGACCUGUGGAAAUGGCUCUGCGUCCCCCAUCUUACAAUGCUGCCCAUCUGUCCUUCUUAGCAGCUUGCUUUCUAUUUCAUAGCUCAAGGGCCAGCCUGUGGCUUGAGAGGGCUAAGUUCUCCCAGCCCACCACUACCUUUCACAUGGUCAGGCGCUGUCCCCAGAGGCCCAGAGAAUUCAUCUGUCAAGUGAGGGGUGUUGGUGAGAGGUGUCAGCUUUCUGGCUUUUCUCCUGUGACAUUUUGGGGUUGACUUUGCCCUGAAAGCUGGAUCAGACACCUCUUCCAUUGUCUUGCUGCUACGCCAGGGAUCUCACAUUUUCUGACUCUCACUCAUAGCGUUUGCAGGGGGAGUGAGUGUUUCACUGCGAGCUGGUCCUUAGCAGAACUGUUUAAAUGGAAAUUCUUUUGGACCAACAUUGACUCCAGGAGCCCAGGACCAAGUCUACAUUGCCCUUCUCCUUCAUCCCUGCUUUGGGUAUUUUUAGAUGCCAAACUCUUGUUCAACAGAGCCUUCCCUUACUUAGCACCCCAAGCAGAGAAAA
Peromyscus maniculatus bairdii (prairie deer mouse) is the source of this 773-nucleotide long non-coding RNA. RefSeq lists it as uncharacterized. Lineage: Eukaryota; Metazoa; Chordata; Mammalia; Rodentia; Cricetidae. The record is from RefSeq and is a predicted model, not a curated record.